UGGCUGAGGGUCGUUGUUAUGGUUUCUGGAGAACUGGUGUUUUUGUUUGAUACUUGGUUAUCUGGCAUAUUGUUAUUUGGUGUGUUUUUGCCUAGAUAUUGUGACUGUUCUGCAGUGUGUGGUGGCUAAGCUAGAUAUUGUUUCUGUUCUUCAGUAUGUGGCUGUUUCUCCAGAUGCAUCAAAAGCAUGGCUCAUUUGUGGUGAGGCUCGCAUUCAACUUGAAGUUCUGAGAGGUUCAUUCAGUGAAGAUCUUGCAGGCGAAAUUAUGUAUUGGGCAAAAAGAAAGAUCCAAGGUGGUUUGUUUUUUCUUCGGAAUCUGAAAAGCAUUUUCAGGAGCCAGUCACAUAUGUCAAGAUAAUACUUGCUGUUUGCUAUGGACUCAUGCAAGUUGGUUAAGGUUAAACUAGAGCAGUUAUCACGAAAAGCUGGAUUCAAGAGGGCUGUGUUUGGCGUUUGACUGACUUCUGCUUGGGCAGAGCAGUCUUGAAACAUAUUAGGUGUACGAGGGACAUCCCUUUUUGGACAUUAUUGACGAAGUGUCAAAGAAUUAUGACAACGGCUGUUUUCUUGCUUUGACGAGGUGUGUUCAGGAUUCCUCAGUUGGUGACUAAAGAAACACACGAGUACGUUCAUUCAAGCUACUGUUUAGAUGU
This is a long non-coding RNA of Macrobrachium nipponense, 653 nucleotides long. RefSeq lists it as uncharacterized. The transcript is spliced from 4 exons. NCBI's taxonomy places the organism in Eukaryota, Metazoa, Arthropoda, Malacostraca, Decapoda, Palaemonidae. The record is from RefSeq and is a predicted model, not a curated record.